GUCCAUGCUGUAAACGAUGAAUACUAGCCGCUUGUUUCUUUAAGAAGUGAGUGGCGCAGCUAACGCGAUAAGUAUUCCGCCUGGGGAGUACGGCCGCAAGGUUAAAACUCAAAGGAAUUGACGGGGGCCCGCACAAGCGGUGGAGCAUGUGGUUUAAUUCGAUGCAACGCGAAGAACCUUACCUACCCUUGACAUACCAAGAAGAUCCUAGAGAUAGGAUUGUGCCUUCGGGAAUUUGGUUACAGGUGCUGCAUGGCU
RNAcentral lists this ribosomal RNA (258 nucleotides) under uncultured bacterium. Its description in RNAcentral is "partial 16S ribosomal RNA". It matches the Rfam family "Bacterial small subunit ribosomal RNA", at positions 793 to 1050 of the family's 1533-position model. The record is from RNAcentral.